Long non-coding RNA from Pleuronectes platessa (European plaice), 225 nucleotides. RefSeq lists it as uncharacterized. The transcript has 3 exons. Lineage: Eukaryota; Metazoa; Chordata; Actinopteri; Pleuronectiformes; Pleuronectidae. The record is from RefSeq and is a predicted model, not a curated record.
GUGACAGACUGAUACAAGUGGGUCCUCUGAGAAAUCCAGUUGUAGUCCCACAUGAGAUGGAGGCUCAGACAGUCACGUGGUUGGUUUUUCUGGCCCUAAUAAAACAUGUUUCUACAAGUGACUAUGGAAGUCCCGUUAAAUGUAUGUACAAUACAAAUCUGAAUAUGGAAAUAUGUUUCAGAAUAUACAUAAAAUUACAAUCAGGACACAAAUGUGUCCUUCCUG